GCAGCCGCGGUAAUACGGAAGGUCUGAGCGUUAUCCGGAUUUAUUGGGUUUAAAGGGUGCGUAGGCGGGCGUUUAAGUCAGCGGUGAAAGUUUGCGGCUCAACCGUAAAAUUGCCGUUGAUACUGGAUGUCUUGAGUGCAGAGGAGGUAGGCGGAAUUCGUCGUGUAGCGGUGAAAUGCGUAGAUAUGACGAAGAACACCAAUUGCGUAGGCAGCUUACCAUAGUGCAACUGACGCUGAGGCACGAAAGUGUGGGUAUCAAACAGGAUUAGAUACCCC
RNAcentral lists this ribosomal RNA (278 nucleotides) under uncultured Oscillospiraceae bacterium. RNAcentral's name for it is "partial 16S ribosomal RNA". It matches the Rfam family "Bacterial small subunit ribosomal RNA", at positions 511 to 788 of the family's 1533-position model. Lineage: Bacteria; Bacillati; Bacillota; Clostridia; Eubacteriales; Oscillospiraceae. The record is from RNAcentral.